CUGAGGGAUUUUUCAUGAAUUCAUGCAUUUUUUUUUGCAGAAUAUUGAACUCCUCUCUUUCAAAAAGGAGGAGACAGAUAUCCAACCUUCCCUUACUUGUAAGUAUGGAUCUGAAGAAAGGCAGAUAAGGUGUGCUGACAGAUAGGACAGCCCGAUGGCAAAUUGCCCAUCAGAUGUAACUGGGAGCAAUCGUUCAUUAGCAGUGGAGACAUACUGGAAAUCGAGAAAAUCCUGGGUCUGCAUUGUAUUUCCUGAUAAAUUCAAAUUUCCCUGCCACCGUGAUGGAAAGCAAGCUGAGAUUUGAUGAAUGAAAUUGAGACUCACUGUGAAACAGAGCAACAGCUUUGAAGAGCUGCCAGAUUUCAGCAAAGGUGAGAAUCCAUCCCUCACAGAGCAGGAGACAGGCUGAGCAGCAGAGCCAUUUGAUAGAUGUUAAAAGACAAACCACCAAAAGGCAAAUAUGCCUUUGGAAAACAGUAUUAAGUAAUAUUUUAAAGAAUGGCCACACAUCAUAUUCACACAGAUGCCAACAGGAAGCCCAGCUCAGGAAAAGAAAAGCUUUCAGGACUCGGGCUGAAGACAAGGAUUGCUCUUGAAGUAACUGUAAAAUGCAAUGACCUUGUGGGAGCCCACCUCGAUGAGGCUGGAUAUUUGACUGAUGUACCACUCAAGUCAUUUUCACAGAGCUUGGGAGGAAUUUCAGCUGCAAGAAAUUCUCUGCUUGAGCUUUAGUUUCUUUAUCUCAAGCAUGCUGCUGCAGAGCUCUAAAAGUGGGAAGGGGGCAAGGGCUCGUUUGUGGAGCUGGAAGAUUGGGUGGGCAUAUCCAGGUGGUUUUGCCCUCCAAUUCAUUGUACCUAAAUGCACCUGUCUCUAAUUCUCUGUGUAAUCAUGAAGAUGUUUCUCAGCUGGUGAGCUCAGGUGUGCUGGGGCUGCAGUGGAGCAGGUCUGAACACAAGGCAGAAUUUAGUCAGUUUUUGUGCUGAGGAGACAACCAAAGCUCCAGGGAUGGCACUUUGAAGGCCUUUUCCUCCUUAUUCCAGGGUACUGCCUUGAUGGAGCUGCAUCUGUCUUGGGACCUUUCACGGGAGCUGCUAGAGUCACGAUAGGGAGGCCAAGGGAAGGAGGUCCAUAGGAGGAAUUAUUCCAGCCCAAAUGGGCUGAAUUCCUGAUUCGAAUCGGCGCUCUUCCUACACUAAAAAGUUGUAAGAAGGAGGGAAAAGGCCGCUCCCAAAGGAGGAGCUGGUAAUGGAGCUGUCUCAGUUGUUAUUGCUCUAAGUCCUCCUCCGCAGUAAUUCAAGGUGUCACAGGCUGGCUGUGCCUUUUGCAAAUGAAGCCCCUGAGAGAUAUUGGGAAGAGGAGGUGGAGCCCAGAGCACUUGCCUUGCCGGGAAGGCACGAGGACCCCGGCUAAUGACGGUGUGCCGAUGGCUUUGGCUUUGAUGAGGACCCUAAAUUGCCAGGUAUCGCAUACCCAUGCGAGGGCCCGGCCCUACCGCAGAGCCCAGGCGGACAAACAAGAGAUGGGGCAAAGGACUCGGCCCUGCUCGCGAGUCACUCGUUGUAUCAGGAGAGCGUCUGGAAAGGGAUCGAGGGACGCAGUUGUGACUGGGAGGUCAAUCGCGCCGGGCACGGACCUGCCUUCUCCACCCGUGCCACCGCUGUCCUACUCCGAGGGCGAUGCCACGAGCUGUGGAGGCUGCAGCCGGGAGCAGCGGCUUGGGCACGGGUGGGUCCC
Molecule: non-coding RNA, 1734 nt
Organism: Cyanistes caeruleus (blue tit)
Lineage: Eukaryota; Metazoa; Chordata; Aves; Passeriformes; Paridae
Source: RefSeq, a predicted model, not a curated record